AUGUAUCCUUCUGAUGGUGACAAGGAUCAUGGAGGAGCUCCUCUCCUGCUACAGAGCAGCUGCUGCACCACCCAUUCUGCUGCAGUCUCAUCACUGGUUGCAAAGCUGGACACCAUUCACCCACCAGAAAUAGGAAAAGUUUCCAGAGAAAAAAGUAUAAAACCCCACUAAACCCUGUGUAUUCAGGCAAAAAACUUACCCAAUAAAUUGAAAUAUUUCUCAGCUUUUACA
This 231-nucleotide long non-coding RNA is filed under the name Coturnix japonica (Japanese quail). RNAcentral's name for it is "lncRNA (ENSCJPG00005014832.1)". The record is from RNAcentral. Lineage: Eukaryota; Metazoa; Chordata; Aves; Galliformes; Phasianidae.